CCUACGGGAGGCAGCAGUGAGGAAUAUUGGUCAAUGGACGAGAGUCUGAACCAGCCAAGUAGCGUGAAGGAUGACUGCCCUAUGGGUUGUAAACUUCUUUUAUAUGGGAGUAAAACAGGGUAUGCAUACCCUCUUGUAUGUACCAUAUGAAUAAGGAUCGGCUAACUCCGUGCCAGCAGCCGCGGUAAUACGGAGGAUCCGAGCGUUAUCCGGAUUUAUUGGGUUUAAAGGGAGCGUAGGUGGAUUGUUAAGUCAGUUGUGAAAGUUUGCGGCUCAACCGUACAAUUGCAGUUGAAACUGGCAGUCUUGAGUACAGUAGAGGUGGGCGGAAUUCGUGGUGUAGCGGUGAAAUGCUUAGAUAUCACGAAGAACUCCGAUUGCGAAGGCAGCUUACUGGACUGCAACUGACACUGAGGCUCGAAAGUGUGGGUAUCAAACAGGAUUAGAUACCCUAGUAGUC
This 460-nucleotide ribosomal RNA is filed under the name uncultured bacterium. Its description in RNAcentral is "partial 16S ribosomal RNA". It matches the Rfam family "Bacterial small subunit ribosomal RNA", at positions 338 to 795 of the family's 1533-position model. The record is from RNAcentral.